This 4346-nucleotide long non-coding RNA is filed under the name Sus scrofa (pig). Its description in RNAcentral is "lncRNA (ENSSSCG00000055463.1)". Lineage: Eukaryota; Metazoa; Chordata; Mammalia; Artiodactyla; Suidae. The record is from RNAcentral.
UUUUUUUUUUUUUUGGCUUUUUUUUUUUUUUUUUUUUGGCUUUUUGGCUUUUUGCCAUUUCUUGGGCCGUUCCUGGGGCAUACAGAGGUUCCCAGGCUAGGGGUCUAAUCAGAGCUGUAGCCACCGGCCUACACCACAGCCACAGCAACACAGGAUCCGAGCUGCGUCUACAACCUACACCACAGCUCACAGCAACGCCGGAUCCUUAACCCACUGAGCAAGGCCAGGGGUCAAACCCGCAACCUCAUGGUUCCUGGUCGGAUUCGUUAACCACUGAGCCACAACAGGAACUCCAGGUUACCCUCUUAACUUAAGGGCAUGCUUCUCUGGGGAGGUGGGGAUGAAAAUGGGCAUGGCAUUUUAGGUGCUCAACAUCAUUUACUGUUUAUAAAGUCAGGUAAAUUAUAUAUAAGUAGACCCCAAACAGUCUACUAACACCACAAUUAAGCAGCAGAGUAUCAAAAUGAUUAAACUUUAGGCAAAUAUUAAUAAGAGUCAAAAAAAAUCUAAAGGCAAGAUUCAAAAAAGCUAUAAAGUCGAGGGGCAAUAAACUUCAGAUGUAAAGUUACCUACACCGCUUGCUUGGCCUCCCUCAUGUCAUUCCAGGAAGUGGGCUUUAUAAAUGUGUUCCAACUUCUCUCCGUAGUAUGAUACAGUCAGAGGCUUUGCCUGAUUCGUAACAUUGCAUUUAACAGAUGUAUCAUUUUGAUAGAUUGGGCUUUUUAAUUUUUUCAUUUUUCGCUUUUUUAGGGCCGCACCUAUGGCGUAAGGAGUUCCCAGGCUGGGGUAGAAUCGGAGCUCAGCCUACACCACAGCCACAGCAACACAGGAUCCAAACUACAUCUUCGACCUACACCAUAAUUCACAGCACUGCUGGAUCCUUAACCCCCUGAGCGAGGCCAGGGAUUGAACCUGUAUCCUCAUGGAUCCUGGUCGGGUUCGGUACUGCUGAGCCACGAUGGGAACUCUGGACUUUUUAAAUAGUAUACUCCAUGUUAGAAGCCCUCACUGGUUUAUUCUUUUCCAAUUAUUGCUUGAGAUUACACUAUGAUUUGUGUUAUAAAAACACUAAACACUAGAUUUAUAUGUAUAUUCAGUUGCUAUGUGCUUUUUUGAAGCGCAUUCAUCAAAAUCACAUACACCCUGGCUAUUUUCCUCACUGAAAAUGGCUACUUUGGUUUAUAUCAAUGAUGUCUCUGGAGAUUUUAAAUCUAAGUAGAGAUUUAAUUUUUCAUUCAAAAAUCACUUUUUUGCCAACCCUUUCCUGACACCUCCCAAAUCUAGGAAAUGUGCCAAGGUUUUCAGAAAAUAUAUUUACUUAUUCUUCAAAUGUACUUGGAAGGAGAUUAAAGCAUAGAUAAAUAAAAGCAGAUGAAUAGGACUUGUGGGCUAAAAGAGAUAUAUUUGAUUCAUUUUGCUGUCAGUUCCAAGAAAGGGAGAGAGAAAAAGAAAGAAGGAAAGAAGACAGGCUCAAAAAUUUUAGGCAACAGUUUUAAUGUUUCUUAAACUAUGUCUUAAUCGAUAACAUCUAUCAAAUGUUUGAAUGAGCUUGUCUUUUUUUAAAUUAGAAAUCACCCUAAUUCUAUUUUAUUUUAUUUUGGCUGGGCCUGCAGCAUACGAAAGUUCUCAGGCCAGGGAUCGAACCCUCACCACAGCAAUGACAAUGUCAAAUCCUUAACCGCUGGGCCACCAGGGAACUCCACUUCUUUGUCUUAACAUGUAUAGAAAUACUGUUCUGUUUUGUAUUUGGUGGGGGCAAGGAAGUAAUUUUUUAAAGGGAAUAUUUCUAACGCUAAGACCGGGAUUUUAUCAAGAUGAGAGCCAUUGGAAGUUAUAGCUUAUCGUGUAUCUAUUGGUUCAUUCAAAGUACAGAAGGUACUAGGUUUUCCCAACCAAAGGUCCACUAAAAAAUAUUUGAUCACUAAAUACUUCAGUUUAGACAUCAUGGAGAAUAUUCACAAACAUUUGGAAAUGUUUGGACCUGGGUAUGAAACUGCUUACUGGCUUUUCUAAGUUAAAAAUAAGUUAAAGAUUAUCGAUGACUUAAAACAAAAAGAAUCAAUUUGCAUAAUAGAAAAUGACAGGGGGUGGGGGGCUUCAAUAAUUCCAAAGUGUUUACUCUCCGCUCAGAAUGUAUAAGGAGAUUCAAAUGGCAAAUUAUUACGCCUUAGCACAUGCAUGGAGGAGGAGAAAGGCAAUUAAAAGCCAGCGUAAUAAAACUGGUCUUCGUUUCGAGGUACCUGAUAUAUGCAGUGUAUUCUCGGGGUACAGCUAAGGAUCACAAGCAUAUCUUUAAUAAAUCUAAAGACAUGUAGGAUAAAAGACGUGCAAUGAAGGUCCUAAGGAACUUAACUCUCUGAGUCUUAGUUUCCCCACCUGUAAAAUGGAGCAGUAAUAGCAAUUACUUUAUUGGGUUAUUAUAAGGAUUAAAUGCAAUUUGUAUUCAGCUUUUGCUCUGACUGGUGAAAAUACUUGGUAUUUUUUUUUCACCAAGGCCAUUCAUUAGGGAGUUCCAUGUUCCUCUCUCCCUGGUCCCAAGGCUCCACCCUCUUCCCACCUGACCAUGUAUACGCUGAGCACAAGGAAUGGGAGCCCGGUAGCUCCUGAAGAUAUUUGGAAACGUCAAGUAUUUUCACAGGGUUCUAAUAUUUAGGGAUCAAAUAGUAAUCAGGAGCUGCCACUCAGAAUUCUAAUUACAAGAUAGAGGAUUUCUUACUCUGAAGCAUUAAUGAGAACAAACUCCUGCUUCAAAUAGGGGGCAGGUGCAUUGGUGUUAUGAUGGUGGACUCUGUAAUGGGCAUCGUUAUUAAAGUACUCAAAAUAAAAAUAAAAAGUUAUUAUUAUUCCAUGGGGGAAGGUGCUAAAUUCUAUAAAAUAAUAUUUAAAGCACUGUUUAAAGGCUCUCCCUGAGCCAGAGAUCCCCAUGAAAUACAUAGUAAGCCAAAUGUGCCAAUAUGUAUUAUGUGACUAUAGGUUAAAGCAGGUCAAGGAGCCACUGGACAAUAAUAUUAGCGUAGACUCAACUACUAAAAAAUCCAAAAGAAUUUCUUAUUGAGUCUAAAGUUGUUACAGGCAAAACUACUAAUACCUAACUAUCAACAAAGUAGAGGGUCAGAAAGUAAAGUGAGUUGGGAGGUUAUAUUGUCCUUGUGACUUGACAUACAAGAAUACUUCAUGGGUUUGAAUGUGCACAUGUCGCAUUUCAACAUGAUGACACUGGGGUGGAGAACAACAGGGGAGGAGGGAGCCAGAGUUGAUUCUGAUGGUGCCUAGCAAUACAGCCGCCACCAGAUACACAUGUGCAAAUGCAGAUACCAUUGCUGGUGGCACAGCUGCAGAGCCGCAAGCCCACAUUUCCGCUGAGAAACCAUUUAGUGACCAUUUGAAGAAAGAAUGAGACGCUGUCGGGAAAUCUGCAGACACCUGCAGGUAAGAUCAAGAUAGCACCAGCAUCUAAACUGACAGGAGGGAUGGAGGAAAUCCAGAGAUGACAGAGGCGGCGCCUUCAGACAGGUGCAUUAGCCACCUCCUGGCCACAGGAUGACACUGUGAGGACAGACCUGAGUCCAAAAGUGACUCAGAAGAAUCUACCUAGAAAAACGCUGAAGGCUUGCCUCAUGCUUACUUAGCUUAACUUUUAGAGUUAUGCACAUCUGAAUGAUAAACCAUCAACAUCAUGUAUAAGGAAGUCUAAGACGGCGCUGUCAAUAAGUUGAAAAGAAAAGUCUUAAACGAAAAGCAGUAUCAGGUACUAGUUGAACAUUUCUUCUUUCUUGGAUGCUCACUAGUGGUCUUACCUCUAUGGCACCUUAGACUUGCAGGUGUAUUUCGCACCUUCUUCACCCUGUCUCCUGACCCUUCAAGCACUCCUUCUUUUAUGAUAAACCCUACUCUCCUCCGUCUGUCUGCCCUCCUACUUUUUAAUUUAUGGCUCUUAUAUUCGGUCUCACAAUAAUUUCGCCCCAUAAACCAAACAUCAAGGCUAAAAGGACAGGCUUCUGCGGAGAUUCAAAUUCCAGCUCUCCUGGUUACUUGCUGCAUGGUCUUAGGUAAAUUUCCAAAAACCCAGCUCUCUCUCUCUUUAUUUUGUCUUUUUUUUUUUUUUUUUUUUUAGGGCCACAUCCAUGGCAUGUGGAAGUUCCCAGACUAGGAGUUGAAUCAGAGCUACAGAUGCCGGACUAUGCCACCGCCACAACAAAGCCACAUCUGAACUGUGUCUACAACCUAUACUGCAGCUCACGGCAACACCAGAUCCUUAACACACUGAGUGAGGCCAGAGAUUGAACCCGAGUCCUCAUGGAUACUAGUUGGGUUUGUUACCACUGAGACAUAAUGGGAACUCCGGC